Molecule: long non-coding RNA, 501 nt
Organism: Uranotaenia lowii
Lineage: Eukaryota; Metazoa; Arthropoda; Insecta; Diptera; Culicidae
Exons: 3
Source: RefSeq, a predicted model, not a curated record
UGGAAUUCAUGCUUUUUCUAAGUAGGCAAAGCUAAAAAAUGUAAACAUUUGUAUCCAUCAAAUGAUGCAUCAAUUUUUUCCGAAACAGACCCAGAGAAAUCGAAAUGAAAGAUUUAAAAAAAAGAGAGCGCUGCUGGUUGGUCAUCAAGGUUUUUAUUUCGAAAGAUUGUUACAAUGAAAAUUUGGUGAGCUGUUUUUCUAUUGCAAAUGCAAUGAUCUUGGUCGAGCUUAAAACAGAGGAGCAAAUAAUAAGAUUCUUGUGAAACCAUUAACCGCAGUUCCUCAAAAUGAUUCAGGGAAUCAUCGGAAAUGCUGUUUAUUUUUUGAAAAUCGAUGGGCCUGGUUUAGAAAGCUAAAGGCGAUGCCAGCCGGUUGUAAGAUUGCUCUAGAUGCUGUAAUAUGAUGAAACCAACCUUUAAAGCCUAGUCCACACUAGGCAACAUGAACUGCGAUUUUUGUUAUGAGACGAACUUUGUUGUCUGUUGUUGUUGUUGGAAACCU